AGCAAAGAUAAAAACACAACGCAGGAGGAAAUUUCCUGUAGAUCUGGUAGGUAGUCCAGACACACUUUCGUAAAGUGUAAGUAACCCUCCCUCCUUGGGUCGUCCGUUCUUUGUGUAUU
This 119-nucleotide non-coding RNA is filed under the name pig gut metagenome. Its description in RNAcentral is "yjdF RNA". It matches the Rfam family "azaaromatic riboswitch aptamer (yjdF RNA)", at positions 5 to 92 of the family's 101-position model. The record is from RNAcentral.